This 1603-nucleotide long non-coding RNA is filed under the name Helianthus annuus (common sunflower). RNAcentral describes it as "hypothetical non coding rna". The record is from RNAcentral. Lineage: Eukaryota; Viridiplantae; Streptophyta; Magnoliopsida; Asterales; Asteraceae.
UUCACAACACCAAAAGCUCCCAACAACACCCCAUUUUCGGUCAAGAACACCCCUCCCCCAUCUUCAUUUUCAAGCCACUUUCAUGAUGAUCAAGAUGCAUUUUCAUGGAACUUAGGAGGAUCUAAGACAACCACAAGUUGAAGCAAGCAUUUCCAUUCAUCUAAGAGCUUUCAACCAUCAAAUCUUCAUCUUCUUUGCUUCUUAUUUUCACCUAGAUCAUCCCUAGCCAAGAGCUAGAAGAUCAUUCAUGGAAACUUUUAUAUCAUAUGUACAUGAUACGGAGGCUCACAUAAUAUUUGAUGGCAAGUUUGUGAUACACGUUGGUCAUUAUCAUCAAGUCAUUUUAGUGUAACUAAAUUUACCUAAAAUCAAAAUACACAUUGAUAUUAGUUAGGAGGUGUGAAGUGCACAAAGGUUAAGACUAGCAUAUAUUUUUGACAACGAUGAACCCUAGGGUUCCUAGGGGGCUGUAUUCCCUCGGCGGGGGGAGUGGUUGAGCCCACAGCGAGCAAAAUUAUUGCUGAAGGAGUUGCAUGCUAAUAAAGUUACUACUGAUGAUAACCAAAUUAAAACAACAAUUUAAUUAUAUCGAAAACUGACACUUUCUCAUGAAGCAUUCGGUUAUUUCAACUAAAUAUUGUGCUGGUUCUAUAAAACAAAGCUCGUUUGCUUAUCGAGCCCGAGCUCGAGCCUCGCAUGUGAAGCUCGUUAGGCUCGUCGAGCCUUAUCGAGCCUUAGUGUAAACGAGCCGGGUCGAGCCAAGCUUAUUUAAACUUGUUUACAAGCUGACCUCGAACCUAAAAAUAAGCUUAUUUAGUAAACGCGCCCGAGCCCGAGCUUCACUUAUCGAGCUCGCGAGCCUAAAAAGUCUAUUAUUUAUAUUAUUUUUAUUUAAUAUACUAAUUAAUAGAUAAUAAACGAGCCGAGCCCGAGCCGAGCUCGAGCUUGAGAAAAUACAAACGAGCCGAGCUCGAGCUUUGAAAACAAAGCUCGAAUUGAGCCGAGCUCGAGCCCAAGCUCUCAUAAGUUAAUCGAACUCGAGCCUGGUCGAGCUCGGGCUCGGCUCGGCUCGUUUGCACCCCUACUUUAAUCUAAGAGUUAUUCAUGCAUGAUUAGAGAGACAUCUAGAAUCUCUAACAGGGUAAAAUAAAAAGGAAACAUUAACUAUUAACUAAAAGGAUAAUAUGCAAAAACAUAUUUUAUUACUGAUGAUAUAACUUUGAAAGUUAUUGACCAAAAAAGGUUUUUGGUUAACCCCCGUGACCUGUGUUAACAUGUGGAAAAUUUUAGCUAUUUUGACCUGAACAAGUUUUGACGUAUUACCCAUUCGGCUCAUUCGGACAUAUAUACCAAAACAUAUGAAGGAAGUAAGGAACCCUUUAGUGACAGAAUGAGGCAUCAAGAAAACUAACCACGGGGUCAGGUGCAUCCUCUUCCUUGCACAUUGACCAUGGGACGCAUGUGUUCAGUCCGACUUCCAUUUUUGCGGCCCAAUUCAUGUACGCUUUUCUAGGGGGUCCAAGUGACUUCCCUUGUGCACCAUACUCAUUCUCAAUCUAAUUUAAAAAUGUAUGAAUUGAAAUUUAAUCAAAACUACAUAGUU